AACGAACGCUGGCGGCAGGCCUAACACAUGCAAGUCGAGCGCGCCCUUCGGGGUGAGCGGCGGACGGGUGAGUAACGCGUGGGAACGUGCCCUUCUCUGCGGAAUAGCCUCGGGAAACUGAGAGUAAUACCGCAUAAGCCCUUCGGGGGAAAGAUUUAUCGGAGAAGGAUCGGCCCGCGUUGGAUUAGGUUGUUGGUGGGGUAAUGGCCCACCAAGCCGACGAUCCAUAGCUGGUUUGAGAGGAUGAUCAGCCACACUGGGACUGAGACACGGCCCAAACUCCUACGGGAGGCAGCAGGGGGGAAUCUUAGACAAUGGGUGCAACCCUGAUCUAGCCAGGCCGCGUGAGUGAUGAAGGCCUUAGGGUUGUAAAGCUCUUUCAGCUGGGAAGAUAAUGACGUAACCAGAAGAAGAAGCCCCGGCUAACUCCGG
Molecule: ribosomal RNA, 432 nt
Filed under: uncultured bacterium
Lineage: Bacteria
Description: partial 16S ribosomal RNA
Rfam family: Bacterial small subunit ribosomal RNA
Source: RNAcentral